AAAGGUCGGACCUGCCCGGUGAUAUAUUAAACGGCUGCAGUUUUCUGUACGAAGGUAGCGUGAUUAACAGCCCUUUAAUUGGGGGAUAGUAUGAAUGGUUUGACGCAGAAAUUCUGUCUCUGGCAUAAUAAUUGAAUUUUUUGUUUUAGUGAAAAGACUAAAAUUUUUGUAUAAGACGAGAAGACCCUGUCAAACUUAAUUAAAUUUUUUCUAGGAAUAAAUUGAAUUUUUGUUGGGGCAACAAGAGACUAAAGUUAACGUCUCGAUUGUAGAGAUAAAGAUCCCUAAUGAAGGAUAAUAGAAAAAGUUACUGGAGGGAUAACAGCGUAAUUUUUCUUGAGAGAUCUUAUUGAGAGAAGGGUGUGCGACCUCGAUGUUGAAUUAAGGAUUACUUUAUGGUUGCAGAAGCUAUGGGUAGUGAAACUGUUCGUUUUUUAAUUCCUU
This 444-nucleotide ribosomal RNA is filed under the name Clementia papyracea. RNAcentral describes it as "partial 16S ribosomal RNA". It matches the Rfam family "Bacterial large subunit ribosomal RNA", at positions 1848 to 2597 of the family's 2925-position model. Lineage: Eukaryota; Metazoa; Mollusca; Bivalvia; Venerida; Veneridae. The record is from RNAcentral.